UCAAACAUUGCUUCCCCUUGAACAUCUCCCAAGAUGGCCCUCUUUUGCCUUCUGGCUCACUUGCCCCACUCUUCAGCUGGUCACUGGACACAGGAACUUGCCGUUCCUAGAUUCAUCUGAACACACGGCACCUUGAGACAGUAGCUCCACCUUCCCAGGACUUCCAAAAGCCUGGAGGAUGGGAUGGGUGGGCAAAAGUAAAGGGCUCAGCCUCACUAUCUCACAGAAACUGCACAGAUCAAAGUCAAGUGUCCACCAUCACAGCGCAGUCUCUUCCUCAAUCACAGGGCAUGCUCCUGACUUAUGGGGUCUCUGUGGUAAAGACAGAUGAGGAGUGUCCGUCUCUGACCUCUCUCUGGGCUGAACAUCCAGUUCACUGUUCUUAGCUCCCAUGGAGUUGGAUAAUCACACUCACGUUGUAGGGUGUAGGGGACACCCUACAACGACCUUCAGGUUGAAGCUCCAAGGAGAGCCUGAGAAAAGAGAGUGGAUGCAUGAAAUACAGAAAUAAUGUCCAAUGUUUUCUAUACUCAAUGAAAAUAAGGAACCCACAGAGGCAAGAAAUUCAGGAAGCUGCAAUCAGAGAAAGAAAAUCAUACGUUUUUUUAACAUAACGAAAAGGAGAAAAUCACAAACCUUGUCAGUGGGAAAGAUGCAGGACAGAAAAGGAUGUCACUUGGGUCACUGCCAGGAAGAGAUGUGAGUCAGAAACAAAGGAACAAGGUGGAACCAACACAGCUUGAUGGAGCACCGAAAGCAAAAGUUCUCUAUACCCAAGAGAUGGCUCUCCAAAGACGAGGCUGACUCGAAGACUCCAUAGGUGUAUAAAAGUGGAGAGAAGCCAGUUUCACACCCGGCAUGUACAGUCACGGGUAGGGGUGACACCAGGGAACCACAUGUACCUGCUGGGAAAUCAGAGAGCAGAAAAGAAGGCGCUGCACAUAAGUGGACAUAUCUCAAGGUUCUUCAACGUCUUCAAAAAACAACCACACUGUAUCGGCUUAAAAUACAGGAAGCAAAA
Molecule: non-coding RNA, 1021 nt
Organism: Rattus norvegicus (Norway rat)
Lineage: Eukaryota; Metazoa; Chordata; Mammalia; Rodentia; Muridae
Source: RefSeq, a predicted model, not a curated record